Molecule: ribosomal RNA, 253 nt
Filed under: uncultured bacterium
Lineage: Bacteria
Description: partial 16S ribosomal RNA
Rfam family: Bacterial small subunit ribosomal RNA
Source: RNAcentral
AACGUAGGUUCCGAGCGUUAUCCGGAAUUAUUGGGCGUAAAGCGCGCGCAGGCGGUUUCUUAAGUCUGAUGUGAAAGCCCACGGCUCAACCGUGGAGGGUCAUUGGAAACUGGGGAACUUGAGUGCAGAAGAGAAAAGCGGAAUUCCACGUGUAGCGGUGAAAUGCGUAGAGAUGUGGAGGAACACCAGUGGCGAAGGCGGCUUUUUGGUCUGUAACUGACGCUGAGGCGCGAAAGCGUGGGGAGCAAACAGG